This 3601-nucleotide long non-coding RNA is filed under the name Capsicum annuum. Its description in RNAcentral is "long non-coding RNA (CANN_LNC004008)". Lineage: Eukaryota; Viridiplantae; Streptophyta; Magnoliopsida; Solanales; Solanaceae. The record is from RNAcentral.
AACAUGAAGAGGGAGAUAAGCAGAAGGUUAGCCAUAACCAUGGAAAGCAUAAAUCCAGGCAAAGGGCAGAUGUGGCUCUAACGUUAGCAGCACAAUCACCUGUUAUUCCUGAUUUUCUUUUGUAGCAAUGAGUGCUGGGAUCUUGAUCGUCAAUAUGAUAAAUUUGAUCAAUACGGCUUAGGUGAGUUCUUCUGUACAUUACGCUUCAUUUUUUUUUUUUGUUUUUUUGUUUUAGUUACUCAUUGUACUUGCAAUUGGUGAAGUGGUUUUUCUCCAUCUUUUCUGAUUUUACCGUGUGAAAUUUCUUUUGGAAAGGGUAUACUUUUGAGUUCUUAAAACUUGUACAAGGAAACUUUUGCAAGGGCUUGACCAGUUAUGAUCCCUUGGUUCUGUUUGUUUUUGUAUUCAUCUCUCAUCUAUGCAUGGUCACACACAUUCUUUGCUAGUUUGAUGAGAGAUAAAAGGCAAGGCACAAAGACAUUUUCCAAACUUAAAACUAAGUGAACUUAUACUCGGUUGUAUAACUGCCCCAAGUAAAAUGAUAUAGAGGCUGAUAAGAAUAUAAGAGGGCUAAUCAAUACACUAUGGAAAAAGCCUAAGGUUUUUGUUCAAUAAAUGCAGAGGGAAUCUCCUUUACUUGGUGGAUAAGAUAUGAGGCUUGUGAAAUUUUCACCAUGAUGCCAAUAUACGCUUGGUGAGAGUUCAUAGUCUCUCAGGAAAAAGAAGAGAAUUGGACAUGCUCUGAGUAUGGUUAUCAGAAAAAUAUUCACAGGUGAAGGAUUCAGGUGAAAUACUCUCACAUUGUGCCUUAGUACGAGCUGCUUGUAGGUUGCUGUGCCUUGGCGCUAUAACUGAAAAAUCCAGCAAAUGGCGAUCAAAAGAAACAAAAAAAAAACUCUCUCAGCAUAUGAUGUCUCACACAAAUGGCGAUCAAAAGAAUAAAAAAACUCUCUCAGCGUUGUUAUGGGGACACUACAUAAAAGUGGCUAAUACAAUUUGCAAUGAUGUCACACAAUAUAGUUGUCGUUGCAAAUUAGGUAACCCUUUACUUCUCCUUCGUAUAGUUGUGUCCAAAGAAAGAAGUAACGUCAUGAAAGGGAUUCAUCACGAGUGGAUCAGUGCAAGAUCAUCACAAUAAAUUCAAGAUUAAAUGACACCUAUUGAACAUAUUUUUAGUUAACGAGUGGAUCAGUGCAAGAUCGUCACAAUAAAUGAUUAGGUUUGACAAUUAACCUACUUUUUACUAAGUAAUAAUAGUACUUUCAAUAAACAUCAUUGCGGUAAGCAAUUUAGGUUCCAAUUUAGGUUCCGGAGACAAUAAAAGGAAAUUGCUUGGAUGGUAAGCAUUUUUCAUUUUAAUAUUGAGGUUGUGGAUUCAAGCAAUUUAAAAAAUUAUUAUUAUAUAUAAGGGGGAAUCUUCCUUUUUGAUAGUCCUCACAAAUAUUUUAGUGCAAUUAGAUAAUCACAUAUGUUUAUUUUUUUUUUGAUACAUAUUAUUACAUUUGUCCACAUUUAUUAUUUUAUGAUAUUUUUGUUUGUAUAUUUAUAAUUGAAGUAUACAUAAUAGUAAUUUUUUAUAAAUCUCUUCUUGAUUCUUAUUAGAUAACUUGUUCUUUUUUACUUAUUUUUUAUAUUAAAAAUUAAUUAUUUUUCUUACUUAUUUAUUUUAGUAAAUCACGGAAGAUUUAUAUUUUUUUUCUAUAUUCUUUUUUUUUUUUUUUGGGGAAGAAAAGGAAAUGCAUUAAUGUAAAUAAAAAAUUUUUUUUUUUUUUUUUUUUUUUGGUGAAGAAGAGGAAAUGCAUUAAUGUAAAUAAAGGUUAGUUACAAGUAAGACCUAAUCAGGUACAAAAACAUGAGCGUUUUGGUUAAGACUACCAUUGCUAGAUACAACUCGGGAGAAGGAUUUCCCCUUGAAGUCUUCCCAAAAAACUAUUCCUAUACUAACUGGAGGAGUAACAAAAAUAUGAAGGUUGUCAAACAGGUCUUGCUUUGAGCACAUCUUCGCCAUUGAAUCUGCUACUCUAUUCUGCUCCCGAUAUAUGUGCUAAACUGGAGGAUUCCCUAGAGAUCUACAUACAAAUACAAUAGAAUUAUAUAGCAAGUUUCUAUGAUGCAACACAUUAAUCACUUCUAGAGAGUCAAUACAGAUAUCUAAUGACUUUAAGUUAUGUUCCAUGGCCAAGUUGAGGCCUUCUUUAAGGGCUAAGAGUUCCAUGAGAUUGUUAUUGGCAUGGGUGAAGCUCCUGCUGAGCCCUACUACCCAAUCUCCUCUACUAUUCUUGAUGACCCCCCUAUCCCUCCCCUACUUGGUUCCCAAAACAGGACCCAUCAUUGUUGAGUUUGAAGGGGGGGUUGCCAUUUAAUGGUGAUGCUGGUCCUAGGGAGGUAAUUUCUAAGAUCUCCUAGGUGAUGGUACUCCAUUGCUUCAGCAUGGGGUAUGCUGAAGCAAGGUUGAAAGUUAGAAUUUUGGAAAUUCUUGCUAUUUUUUAUCUUCCAGAGAUGCCAGAGACAGAAAGGGAGCAAGGUGCUCUGGGUCAAAAUCCUCAUUACUCGGGAUUUACCAGGUGGAGUACCAAUUAUUGAUGUCAAACAUAAGGAUAUUUAGUUGCAGGGUUCCUUUGUAUUUUUAGAUAAGAUGGUGCCAAAAGGUCUUGGCAACAAUGCAUCCAAAGAAGAUGUGGUGUUGGUCCUCCUAGCUAUUGUUGCAGUUGUGACAUGAGGAGGUGAUGUUCAGGCCCCUUUUUAGUUUUAGUGAGUAUGAGUUUGCUGUGAGGCUUGCUGUUGAGAAAAUUAAGGAGUUUUUGAAUGAUGAUGAUCCGAAUCUCAAGUAUCUUGGUUUGCAAGCGCUUACUAUUGUUGCGCCUAAACAUUUGUGGGCAGUCAUGGAGAACAAGGAUUUGUGAUCAAAUCGUUGAGUGAUGCGGAUGCAAAUAUUAAACUCGAGGUCUUGCAGCUUGUUUUGGCUAUGGUUUCUGAAGAUAAUGGAUGGAUAUUUGUAAGGUUUUGAUUAAUUAUGCUCUUAAGUUGGACCCGGAGUUUUGUAAUGAGAUUCUGAACUUGAAAAUGCAAGUUUGAGAAGAAGCAAACGCCAUUCUCGUGGUAAGGAGAAGAAACAUAGAAGUACUGCAAAAGAUAGAGAUGAACAUGAAGAGGGAGAUAAACAGAAGGUUAGCCAUCACCAUGGAAAGCAUAAAUCCUGACAAAGGGCAGAUGUAGCUGUAACGUUAGCAGCACAAUCACCUGUUAUUCCUGAUUUUCUUUUGUAGCAAUGAGUGCUGGGAUCUUGAUCGUCAAUAUGAUAAAUUUGAUCAAUACGGCUUAGGUGAGUUCUUCUGUACAUUACGCUUCAUUUUUUUUUUUUGUUUUUUUGUUUUAGUUACUCAUUGUACUUGCAAUUGGUGAAGUGGUUUUUCUCCAUCUUUUCUGAUUUUACCGUGUGAAAUUUCUUUUGGAAAGGGUAUACUUUUGAGUUCUUAAAACUUGUACAAGGAAACUUUUGCAAGGGCUUGACCAGUUAUGAUCCCUUGGUUCUGUUUGUUUUUGUAUUCAUCUCUCAUCUAUGCAUGGUCACACACAUUCUUUGCUAGUUUGAUGAGAGAUA